Molecule: transfer RNA, 71 nt
Filed under: Heliconius melpomene (postman butterfly)
Lineage: Eukaryota; Metazoa; Arthropoda; Insecta; Lepidoptera; Nymphalidae
Description: tRNA HMEL011154
Rfam family: tRNA
About the family: Transfer RNA (tRNA) molecules are approximately 80 nucleotides in length. Their secondary structure includes four short double-helical elements and three loops (D, anti-codon, and T loops).
Source: RNAcentral
GCAUCGGUGAUUCAGUGGUAGAAUGCUCGCCUGCCACGCGGGCGGCCCGGGUUCGAUUCCCGGUCGAUGCC